This 630-nucleotide ribosomal RNA is filed under the name Phragmidium sp. RNAcentral's name for it is "partial large subunit ribosomal RNA". It matches the Rfam family "Eukaryotic large subunit ribosomal RNA", at positions 30 to 643 of the family's 3401-position model. The record is from RNAcentral. Lineage: Eukaryota; Fungi; Basidiomycota; Pucciniomycetes; Pucciniales; Phragmidiaceae.
GUUUUUUUGCAUAUCCAAAUAGCGGAGGAAAAGAAACUAACCAGGAUUCCCCCAGUAACGGCGAGUGAAGAGGGAAAAGCCCAAAUUUGUAAUCUGGCCCUUUCAGGGUCCGAGUUGUAAUUUUGAGAGCUGUUUUCUGUGCUGGACCAUUUCUAAGUCUGUUGAAAAAUAGCAUCAUUGAGGGUGAUAAUCCCGUUCAUGAUAUGGACUACCAGUGCAAUAUGAUACAGUUUCUAAGAGUCGAGUUGUUUGGGAAUGCAGCUCAAAGUGGGUGGUAAAUUCCAUCUAAGGCUAAAUAUAGGUGAGAGACCGAUAGCAUACAAGUACCGUGAGGGAAAGAUGAAAAGAACUUUGGAAAGAGAGUUAACAGUGCGUGAAAUUGUUGUGAGGGAAACAUUUGAAGUUAGCCUUGUGCUUGUUAGUUCAGCUCUCUCUAUAGGGUGUAUUCUAAUGAUGUCACGGACCAACAUCAGUUUUUGGGUGCUGGAUAAGGGUUUUGGAAAUGUGGCAGCUUAGGUUGUGUUAUAGUCCAGAACUUAGAUACAGUGCUUGGGACUGAGGCAUGCAGCAAGCCAGUAAAAUGGUGGUCUUUAUUAUUAAGGCUCAAUGCUGAGGAGUGUCAAGCUACAC